Molecule: ribosomal RNA, 459 nt
Filed under: uncultured bacterium
Lineage: Bacteria
Description: partial 16S ribosomal RNA
Rfam family: Bacterial small subunit ribosomal RNA
Source: RNAcentral
CCUACGGGAGGCAGCAGUGAGGAAUAUUGGUCAAUGGACGAGAGUCUGAACCAGCCAAGUAGCGUGAGGGAUGACGGUCCUAUGGAUUGUAAACCUCUUUUGUCAGGGAGCAAAGGGCGCCACGUGUCGCGGUUUGCGAGUACCUGAAGAAAAAGCAUCUGCUAACUCCGUGCCAGCAGCCGCGGUAAUACGGAGGAUGCGAGCGUUAUCCGGAUUUAUUGGGUUUAAAGGGUGCGCAGGCGGAAGGUCAAGUCAGCGGUAAAAUUCCGGGGCUCAACCCCGUCGUGCCGUUGAAACUGGCGUUCUUGAGUGAGCGAGAAGUAUGCGGAAUGCGCGGUGUAGCGGUGAAAUGCUUAGAUAUCACGCAGAACCCCGAUUGCGAAGGCAGCAUACCGGCGCUAAACUGACGCUCAUGCACGAAAGCGUGGGUAUCGAACAGGAGUAGAUACCCUUGUAGUC